AUGAUGUCUUCUUCUCGGCAGGAAGGGCCCGCCAGACUUUUUGAAUUUGUUUGUAGCGCUCAGACCAGGCUGGAUAUUGUUUUGAUCCAUUCUGGGUGGUUGAGAUUGGCAUAUAGGACAGAGGCCAUUGUUGCAUUCCGCCCUAGUUUCUCGUCCUGUUCCAUACGGUGGGAAGAUCGCUGAUUAGAUGUUGAACCCGCAGGCUGAGUAGUGGAGCAACUAUCGCCUUCAUCACUUCCCAGCCAGGGCGAGGCUGGACUGAAUUGAGGGCUGCUACAAAAAAAGAUGCAAAAAGCUAUGUAAAAAAAGUUUAUUCAAUUAAAGACGAGGAAAAAAUAAUAUCCAAAUUAAUCAUUUAAGUAUCGGGUGCCUCGAGGGCUGAGCGAGACGUAGCUGGUCUACACUCCCUGCCCUCCAGUCCUCGGCUCCACAGCCCUGCCGUGGGGUUGUCACAGGGUUUGGCGCAAGCUGGGCCUCUCUAAUGACACAAUUUGGCAACUGAUGAAGCUGAUAGCGAAGAAAAGGAUACAACUUUAAACUAAUUUCUAACCUAACCUAACUCCAGGCAUUAUCUCAAAAAUUUCUUUCGCUGGCCCUCAUCCUAGUUUCCUUGUCAGAAAAAUGCAAAUCGCAUAUUUAUGUCCACCUGGCUUUUAUUUCUAGGCAUCAUCAAUAAUGCCAGAAUGUUUACAGAAUGGUGGCUCAGAAAAUAUAACAUGUUGAUGACAUACUAAAAUUUGGAAAAUUUCGCUGACUUACUUGCUAUAUUCAGAAUGAUAUGGUGAUGCUGAGGGGUGAUGCUGAGGGGUAUCCGAGAGGUGCAAAUUUGAAUGCACAACAGGAGGUAGAGCUGCAGGGAUUUGAGAUCUGGGUAGACUAACGGCUUGAUGCAGGGCUGAGAAAAAUAGAAAAAAACAAUGUUAGAGGAAGGUCAUGGCAGCGAAAACUAAUUGACAGGAGAGGAAAAAUACAAAACAAGACUUAAAGUUAAAUUAAGAAAAAAUUAAUAAGAUAAAGAAAUGGGUUCUUUCUCUCAUUGAAUUUGUAUGCUGGAUUGAGCCUACACAAUCUCAAAACUUGAUGUAAAGACUCAUGCCAGGGAAGGCUCAGAGAUCGCAAAUGCAAAUGUUCCAAUGGCGGAGUGAAGAGUUCAUGCCAUCACCCGCAAAUUGAUGGUAAUUAAACUUUGGAUGUAAAGUUUGACAACCCAUGAAAUCACAGGUUUCACCAUUUUUCAUUGUCCUCCUGGCACUGUGAGAAAAAAAACUUAGGAACGCAUCGACACAGUAUGUAUUGACAGAAUAACUUUGCAUUUCCUUUUAUAAGAUGACAUUGCACAAAAACCCUCAUCAUUGAGCUUUAUUCACUCACCAGGGUGAUUAGAGGAAGGCGACAUAAUUGGUUGAGGUCCUUGAAUAAUAUUCAUGUUUGGCUGGUGUUGGUUUGUAACAGAGAAGACAUUGACUGGGUUAGCGGCUUGAUUGGGGUUGGCAGGCAAAUUAGCAUUUUCAACACUGGCCACUACUUCAUCUGUGAGAACAUCUUUGAAGAUCUCUUCAACAUCUUUGGAGUCCAUAUUUGGUAAACCGGUUUCCCGCACGAUUGAGUCAAGGUUGAAGUGUGAGUUGAAAAUGUCCGUCAAUUCAUCUUUAGAACCUGAAAAGCACAGUUGAAAUUCUAAAUUCUAACAAACUAAAAAUGUAUUACCUAUUCCUAAUAAAGUGUAAAUUUGCCCCACUUUCAAAAAUUAAUAACUGAAAAAAGAAAUUAAUCGAUUAGAGAAUUGACUCACGACCCAAAAUUUGCUUCAUGUUUGCCGCAGUCCCAAGAUAUCGAGAUCAGGCAUUUUCUACAUUCUUGUUGAACACAUUGUGAGGGUACUUAAACAAAUAAGAGGUUGCUCUGUUUGAUUGAGAUUAGAUUUUUAAUUUUAAUGGUAUUCAUUAUCAUGACUAAUUGAUCCUCACGAAUUUACUCAAGAC
Molecule: long non-coding RNA, 1982 nt
Filed under: Bemisia tabaci
Lineage: Eukaryota; Metazoa; Arthropoda; Insecta; Hemiptera; Aleyrodidae
Description: lncRNA ENSSWEETPG004422
Source: RNAcentral